This 253-nucleotide ribosomal RNA is filed under the name uncultured bacterium. Its description in RNAcentral is "partial 16S ribosomal RNA". It matches the Rfam family "Bacterial small subunit ribosomal RNA", at positions 524 to 776 of the family's 1533-position model. The record is from RNAcentral.
GACGAGGGAUCCUAGCGUUGUUCGGAAUCAUUGGGCGUAAAGAGUAUGUAGGCGGCCUUGUAAGUCAGUUGUGAAAGCCCCGGGCUCAACCCGGGAAGUGCAAUUGAUACUGCUUGGCUUGAAUGUGGAAGAGGGUAGUAGAAUUCCAGGUGUAGUGGUGAAAUACGUAGAUAUCUGGAGGAAUACCGGUGGCGAAGGCGACUUCCUGGCCUGUUCUUGACGCUGAGGCGCGAAAGCUAGGGUAGCAAACGGG